GGUCAAGUUAUUAAGGGUGCAGGGCGGAUGCCUUGGCACUAGGAGCCGAUGAAGGACGUGAUAAGCUGCGAUAAGCUUCGGGGAGUUGCACGUAAACUUUGAUCCGAAGAUUUCCGAAUGAGGAAACUCACUUAGAGUAAUGUCUAAGUAUCAUUAAGUGAAUACAUAGCUUAAUGAGGGGAACUCAGGGAACUGAAACAUCUAAGUACCUGAAGGAAGAGAAAGAAAUUCGAUUCCGUAAGUAGCGGCGAGCGAACGCGGAUUAGCCCAAACCAAUAAAGUUUUCUUUAUUGGGGUUGCGGACAUAUCAUAACGAAGAGGUAUCGUAAUUGAAGAGGUUUGGAAAGACCCACCACAGAAGGUAAUAGUCCUGUAUGUUAAACGAGAAGACUUCAGAUAUGAUCCAGAGUACCACGGGACACGUGAAACCCUGUGGGAAGCAGGAGGGACCACCCUCCAAGGCUAAAUACUACCUAGUGACCGAUAGCGUAUAGUACCGUGAGGGAAAGGUGAAAAGAACCCCGGGAGGAGAGUGAAAUAGAACCUGAAACCCUGCACUUACAAGCUGUGGAAGCACAUUUCUUGUGUGACCGCGUACUUUUUGUAGAACGGGCCAACGAGUUACGUUAAGUAGCAAGGUUAAGCACUUAAGGUGUGGAGCCGUAGCGAAAGCGAGUUUUAACUGAGCGUUCAGUUACUUGACGUAGACCCGAAACCGGGCGACCUACCCAUGAGCAGGAUGAAGCGAAAGUAAAAUUUCGUGGAGGUCCGAACCCACGAGCGUUGAAAAGCUCGGGGAUGACUUGUGGGUAGCGGUGAAAUUCCAAUCGAGCCCGGAGAUAGCUGGUUCUCCCCGAAAUAGCUUUAGGGCUAGCCUCAAGGUGAGAGAUACGGAGGUAGAGCACUGAAUGUCCUAGGGGGUAUUGCACCUACCGAAGACUAUCAAACUCCGAAUGCCGUCAUCUUAUACUUGGGAGUCAGACUGUGGGUGAUAAGAUUCAUAGUCGAAAGGGCAACAGCCCAGAUCGUCAGCUAAGGUCCCUAAAUGUAAGUUAAGUGGUAAAGGAUGUGGGAUUGCACAGACAACCAGGAUGUUGGCUUAGAAGCAGCCACUCAUUCAAAGAGUGCGUAAUAGCUCACUGGUCGAGUGAUCCUGCGCCGAAGAUUUCCGGGGCUAAAACUUACUACCGAAGCUACGGCAUCAGUAAUGAUGGGUAGGGGAGCUUCCCAUACGGGUUGAAGCAUGACCGUAAGGACAUGUGGACAGUAUGGGAGUGAGAAUGUUGGCAUGAGUAGCGAGAUGUGGGUGAGAAUCCCACAGGCCGUAAACCCAAGGUUUCCAGGGGAAGGUUCGUCCGCCCUGGGUUAGUCGGGACCUAAGCUGAGGCCGAAAGGCGUAGGUGAUGGACAACAGGUUGAUAUUCCUGUACUACCGAUAACCGUUUGAGAGAAGGGAUGACACAGUAGGAUAAGCUAAGCACACUGUUGGUUAUGUGUGCCCAAGCAUUGAGGCAGUCAAAGUAGGCAAAUCCGCUUUGAUAAUGCUGGGAUGUGAUGGGGAGCGAAAUUUAGUAGCGAAGUAGCUGAUUUCACACUGUCAAGAAAAGUCUCUAUCGAGGUUAAAGGUACCCGUACCGCAAACCGACACAGGUGGGUGAGGAGAGUAUCCUAAGGCCAGCGAGAGAACUGUUGUUAAGGAACUCGGCAAAAUGACCCCGUAACUUAGGGAUAAGGGGUGCCACCAUCAGGUGGCCGCAGAGAAUAGGCCCAAGCGACUGUUUACCAAAAACAUAGGUUUCUGCUAAGUCGCAAGACGAUGUAUAGGAGCUGACGCCUGCCCGGUGCUGGAAGGUUAAGGGGAUCUGUUAGAGCAAUCGAAGCAGUGAACUUAAGCCCCAGUAAACGGCGGCCGUAACUAUAACGGUCCUAAGGUAGCGAAAUUCCUUGUCGGGUAAGUUCCGACCCGCACGAAAGGCGUAACGAUUUGGGCACUGUCUCAACAACAGACUCGGUGAAAUUGUAAUUCCGGUGAAGAUGCCGGAUACCUGCGACAGGACGGAAAGACCCCAUGGAGCUUUACUGUAGCUUGACAUUGGGUUUUGGUACUACAUGUACAGGAUAGGUGGGAGGCUUUGAAACCAGGACGCCAGUUUUGGCGGAGCCAUCCUUGGGAUACCACCCUUGUAGUACUGGGACUCUAACCAUAGGCCAUGAAUCUGGUCUUGGGACACUGUCAGGUGGGCAGUUUGACUGGGGCGGUCGCCUCCCAAAAGGUAACGGAGGCGCUCAAAGGUUCUCUCAGAAUGGUUGGAAAUCAUUCAUAGAGUGUAAAGGCAUAAGGGAGCUUGACUGCGAGACUUACAAGUCGAGCAGGGUGAAAAUCGGACUUAGUGAUCCGGUGGUUCUGCGUGGAAGGGCCAUCGCUCAACGGAUAAAAGCUACCCUGGGGAUAACAGGCUUAUCUCCCCCAAGAGUCCACAUCGACGGGGAGGUUUGGCACCUCGAUGUCGGCUCAUCACAUCCUGGGGCUGUAGUAGGUCCCAAGGGUUGGGCUGUUCGCCCAUUAAAGUGGUACGCGAGCUGGGUUCAGAACGUCGUGAGACAGUUCGGUCCCUAUCCGUCGCAGGCGUAGGAAAUUUGAGAAGACCUGUCCUUAGUACGAGAGGACCGGGAUGGACGUACCUCUGGUGUACCAGUUGUUCUGCCAAGGGCAUGGCUGGGUAGCUAUGUACGGAAUGGAUAAGCGCUGAAAGCAUCUAAGCGCGAAGCCAACUUCAAGAUAAGAUUUCCCACCGCAAGGGUAAGAUCCCAGAAAGACUAUCUGGUUGAUAGGUCGAAGGUGUAAGUGCAGCAAUGUAUUUAGCUUAUCGAUACUAAUAGGUCGAGGACUUGACCAA
This 2897-nucleotide ribosomal RNA is filed under the name Clostridioides difficile. Its description in RNAcentral is "23S ribosomal RNA". It matches the Rfam family "Bacterial large subunit ribosomal RNA". Lineage: Bacteria; Bacillati; Bacillota; Clostridia; Peptostreptococcales; Peptostreptococcaceae. The record is from RNAcentral.